Long non-coding RNA from Triticum dicoccoides, 464 nucleotides. RefSeq lists it as uncharacterized. NCBI's taxonomy places the organism in Eukaryota, Viridiplantae, Streptophyta, Magnoliopsida, Poales, Poaceae. The transcript has 4 exons. The record is from RefSeq and is a predicted model, not a curated record.
GUCUAACCAAGUUUUCUUCAAUCCUAUGUUCUACAUUCUGGUUUUGAUGCCUUGCUGCCUUCGACAUUAAGGUGGGAAGCUUGGCUGAUUCCACCUCCAGUCAGAAGAUUAAUACAUCUAUGGUUUUAUUUUCCAUGCCAACAGCUUGAUUGAUGAUUCCUAAUGCAUCUCAGAAAUAAUUGUUUCUGGAGGAAUGACCAUGCCACAGGUGAUUACCGCGCUAGGACCUGCCCUUGAUAAGAACCAGGGAAACCAUUUAAAAAGAAUGAUGAUUGUGUGAGCCUUUAAAUAUCGCCAACACAUCAGGUAUUGGCAUCUAGAUGUUUACAACUACUAAAGGAACACCCAUGUCGUAGAUGAUGCUACAUCUGAUGUAUGAUUUGAAGAUUAGAAGCUGGAGCACAAGGAUUGUGUGAUGGAGUAAACAUUGGUUAUAUAUUUUAGGCGGGUCAGAUAUUAAAGUG